AUUGAAAGAUUAUGUUUUGUUUAUAUCACUAGUUCCCUACAUGGUUGUAGGAAAGGUAGUGGUAGUGUAAUUUUUUUGUUUGUAAAUUUGUGGUUAGUGUUGGAACCUCCUAAAAUGUCAUCUGAUAACAGUGGUGCGGGUGAAAAUGUUGAUAGAACUGCAGCACGCGAAUCUCUUCCACCAGCUAUAGAAUAUCCAGGACCGAAUAACAUCACAGUUUCACCAAAUCAGCCAAGACAACCAACAACAUUGCAGGACCUUCUAAGAUUUAGUGUCGAGGCGGCAGGUGGACAAAUGACGCAGAAUAAUGCUGUUGCGAUAGACGAAGAGAGACGAAAAUUUUUGGAAGCAGCUCUGAAGAGUCUGACAUUUGAUGUGAUAGAAGAGUUGUUAAAGGCAAUAAACAUCCUGAAAAAUGCUGGUACGCUGGAGCUGGAGGACGAUCCCUCUGCAUGUGAAGCAGCAUUGGAUACUAUUACACAGCAUGUUGAUAACAUGGACACUGCAAAUGAUUUCCACAAAAUUGGAGGCUUUUGUAUUUUCCAUCCAUGCCUGGACUCGGCACACAGCAGCUUACGUUGGCGUGCUGCAGAAAUCAUUGCCGAACUGACGCAGAAUAACCCUUACUGCCAGCAACGCAUUCUGGAGGCUAAUUUAUUACAGCCUUUGCUGAACCUCGUAGAUAAUGAUCCAGCCAGCCAGGUCCGCGUUAAGGCCCUCUAUGCUAUUUCUUGUCUUGUACGUGAGAAUAAAAAUGCUCUUCAAGAGUUUAUAAAACAUGCGGGAUACUCAGUCCUGCUCCGUGCUAUGCAGAGCAAUGUUGAGAAGUUGCAGGUGAAAUCUGCAUUCCUAUUGUCGAGUCUCUGUUCAAGCACAGAAAUAAAAGAUGAGCUUUGUAAGAUGGGAUUUAUAGAACAGCUCAUAGGACUGGUUGGACCAGAGGGAAGCCCAGCUGUUGAACAUCUGCUAUCAGCAGUUGUUGCACUUGUGUCAGAUCACGAAUUAUCUCAGCAAGAGUGUCGGAGGCCAGAACUGCAUCUUCGCGAUAAACUGUUCCAGCUUAUGCAAAACGUGUCUGGCAAGGAGGAAUUCAGAGCCAAGAUCUACUGGGAAAAUCCAGUUGGAUAACUUCAACAGGGGUGUCUUGAGGAAAACAAUUGAAGACUUCAGCUUGGUGCAGAAGACUGCCGCAAAACUUUGACCAAUACUCAAGAAAAAGUUUGGCUGGACUUGGAUUUUGGGUAUUAAAUCUCUGUAGAAUAUUUAGUCGUCCAUGGGAUGAAAGCAUAAAUGAAAUACAUGAGUAUGCCCAGUACUUGUUGAGGAUUGUCUUUAGUGGUGAUGAAGAAGAACGUUAGUGAAGUUUACUACUUAUAAUUUCAUCGUUUGAGAACCACACUCAUGAGGGAAGGCCACAAAAAUGUGUAGAGUCUACAGGCACAACUCCUGCAAUACUCAGUUUCAGCAAAUGAAAGUUGUGUCAUUAGAUUUUAUCAUUGUUAUUAUAAUGAAGUAUUUAAUUUAAAAUGUGAAUUAUAUUUAAAAACUGUUUCAUAGGUUAAAUUAAAAAUAGUGCUUUUUGUAAUAAUUCACAUAAGGAUUUUAUUGCAUACUAUGUUUCUUGUAAUUUAUUUCCCUUUAUACUGCACUAUCCGCACGAUACCUUUAUUUUUUCAGGUGAGAUAUAGGCUAAAUGUUUUUGUUUUCUACCUACCUUCAAAAAACACCAAGGCCAAGAAUAUUAAUUAUUUCAUUAAUCAAAGCCAUAAAUGCCAUAGUGAGCAAAUAAUAUAGAAUAAUAAUCAUGUCCUUAACCAUGUAACAUGGGAUCAGACCAUCAAACUCCUCUCUCAUAUGAGAAAUAUCACUGUAGAUGAGUUAGUACAAGAAACACAAGUGCUGACAAAAUCCAAUAAUUAGCUUCCAGUGGCCACUUACUUUCACCUUAGUGUACAGUAGACGCUAGAGCUGCUUAGCAGAAACACAAUUUGACUAAUUGUGUAGAAAACAACUUUACUACUGCAAUUCAUAGGUAGUUUCUAUACGCUAAUGUGUAAGUGUGUUUCCGUUGUGCCUGUCUGCAACUCAGCGUGUCAUCUUUAUGGUGAGUAGCAAUCUAGCUUUUCCUUAUAUUGCUGGUAUUUGCAAAAGAAAGGGAAAAAAAGUGCUUUAACAGAUCACAACAACUUGCAACACAACAACAAAAUUAUGUGGCAUGUACACAAAUGACAACUGUUAUACAACUGUCACCUCUCCCUCUGCAGAGUAUAGGUCAUUCAUGUUUUAUCUUCCUAAAUUUAUUUUUCAUUAAUAAAGUCAUGUUAGAUAUAACCCAUUAGUAAUGAGCAGAAAGCAUAGCAAUACAUAUGGAAGAAAUGGGUUGAUAAACCAAACAUAAAUAAUAAGGAAUUUUGCAGCACCAGAGAACACAUAAAAGUUAUUUGUUAAACUGACAGGAGAUUAAAGACUGGAACUAGCGAAAACUCUAGAAAUGACUUCAGUCCAAUAAAUGGGCAAACAUCAGUGUAUCUACAGAGUUCAAUGAAACUUUAUUGUAAAGUUACAUACAAAUAUGCUUGCUGUUCAACAACAAUAACUUAACUGAUUAUUAUUAAAAUUAUCAUUAUUACAUAUAAGAUCAUCAAACUAAAGACACACUUAAACAUGCUUUGAAUGUGUGCAUUGAUGAUACAUUGAAAUAUUUUCUCAUACAAUGUUUCAAAUUUUUCUUCAACUAGUUUUUAAAACAUUCUUAAUCAUUUUUAUGUGGCAGAAAAGGACACGUCAGUGGAUGGAGAACCUCUCCAAAUUUUGAUACGUGACAUGCACUGUGGUGUAGUUGCAGAGUACAUCGCUGUGGGGUAAAGAUGUCAGCACAUGGUAGACAAAUCAUCCACUCAGUAUCAUUGCAUCAAAUUAGUUCAUUCAUGCCAAUAGGCAACCCAAUGAACUGAGUUCCAAAGCUGGCUGUUGCUAUAGCCCUUCCUGGGCAGUCCCAGCAAUGAAUUACAUAUAUAUGCUCUCCUGCCAGACUGGUAUUCACUGCCCAUAUUGAUCACCUGUAACAUGAGUUAAAAACUAGGAGAGGUGCUCUAUCCACUGAUGUGUGGAUAUUUUCUGUAUGUCUUGUAGCUUUUCGCACAAUCACAUUCUGAAAUCCUGAAGAUGCUUAUGAAUAACUCUGUGUACAUGCAUUAAUUUCAUCCACAAAGUUCAUUGUGCUUAGGACUUCAAGUGUUUUUGUUGCUGAAAUAAAGUCAAUUUAUACUUUCGGUUCAUGUAAUAGAUGAGACACUAUGGACUUAAAACAGUUG
Schistocerca nitens (vagrant locust) is the source of this 3314-nucleotide RNA transcript. It is a transcript of the gene named hsp70-binding protein 1, with no coding region annotated. Lineage: Eukaryota; Metazoa; Arthropoda; Insecta; Orthoptera; Acrididae. The record is from RefSeq and is a predicted model, not a curated record. The transcript has 7 exons.